AGUGAACGCUGGCGGUAGGCCUAACACAUGCAAGUCGAACGGCAGCACAGUAAGAGCUUGCUCUUCCGGGUGGCGAGUGGCGGACGGGUGAGGAAUACAUCGGAAUCUACUUUUUCGUGGGGGUUAACGUAGGGAAACUUACGAUAAUACCGCAUACGACCUACGGGUGAAAGCAGGGGAUAUUCGGACCUUGCGGGAUUGAAUGAGCCGAUGUCGGAUUAGCUAGUUGGCGGGGUAAAGGCCAACCAAGGGGACGAUCCGCAUCUGGUCUGGGAGGAGGAUCAGCGACACUGGAGGGUGGACACGGUCCAGGCUCCUACGGGAGGGAGCAGUGGGGAAUGUGGGACAGUGGGCGCAAGCCUGAUCCAGUCAUACCGCGUGGGUGAAGAAGGCGUUCGGUUUGUAAAGCCCUUUUGUUGGGAAAGAAAAGCAGCAGGUUAAGACGCCGCUGUUCUGACGGUACCCAAAGAAUAAGCACCGGCUAACUUCGUG
Molecule: ribosomal RNA, 492 nt
Filed under: uncultured bacterium
Lineage: Bacteria
Description: partial 16S ribosomal RNA
Rfam family: Bacterial small subunit ribosomal RNA
Source: RNAcentral